AGUGAACGCUGGCGGUAGGCCUAACACAUGCAAGUCGAACGGCAGCACAGUAAGAGCUUGCUCUUACGGGUGGCGAGUGGCGGACGGGUGAGGAAUACAUCGGAAUCUACUUUUUCGUGGGGGAUAACGUAGGGAAACUUACGCUAAUACCGCAUACGACCUACGGGUGAAAGCAGGGGAUCUUCGGACCUUGCGCGAUUGAAUGAGCCGAUGUCGGAUUAGCUAGUUGGCGGGGGAAAGGCCCACCAAGGCGACGAUCCGUAGCUGGUCUGAGAGGAUGAUCGGCCACACUGGAACUGAGACACGGUCCAGACUCCUACGGGAGGCAGCAGUGGGGAAUAUUGGACAAUAGGCGCAAGCCUGAUCCAGCCAUACCGCGUGGGUGAAGAAGGCCUUCGGGUUGUAAAGCCCUUUUGUUGGGAAAGAAAAGCAGCAGGUUAAUACCCCGCUGUUCUGACGGUACCCAAAGAAUAAGCACCGGCUAACUUCGUG
RNAcentral lists this ribosomal RNA (492 nucleotides) under uncultured bacterium. RNAcentral's name for it is "partial 16S ribosomal RNA". It matches the Rfam family "Bacterial small subunit ribosomal RNA", at positions 29 to 507 of the family's 1533-position model. The record is from RNAcentral.